RNAcentral lists this ribosomal RNA (1212 nucleotides) under Actinobaculum massiliense. RNAcentral's name for it is "bacterial SSU rRNA". It matches the Rfam family "Bacterial small subunit ribosomal RNA", at positions 85 to 1298 of the family's 1533-position model. The record is from RNAcentral. Lineage: Bacteria; Bacillati; Actinomycetota; Actinomycetes; Actinomycetales; Actinomycetaceae.
GGGUGCUCGAGUGGCGAACGGGUGAGUAUUACGUGAGUAACCUGCCCUCAACUGUGGGAUAAGCCUGGGAAACUGGGUCUAAUACUGCAUAUUCUUCUUUCACCGCAUGGUGGGGGUUGGAAAGUUUUUUCGGUUGGGGAUGGGCUCGCGGCCUAUCAGCUUGUUGGUGGGGUGAUGGCCUACCAAGGCGGUGACGGGUAGCCGGCCUGAGAGGGUGGUCGGCCACAUUGGGACUGAGAUACGGCCCAGACUCCUACGGGAGGCAGCAGUGGGGGAUAUUGCACAAUGGGCGCAAGCCUGAUGCAGCGACGCCGCGUGAGGGAUGAAGGCUUUCGGGUUGUAAACCUCUUUCGGUACAGAACAAGGCACGUUUUUUGCGUGUGGAGGGUAUGUGCAGAAGAAGCGCCGGCUAACUACGUGCCAGCAGCCGCGGUAAUACGUAGGGCGCGAGCGUUGUCCGGAAUUAUUGGGCGUAAAGGGCUCGUAGGCGGCUUGUUGCGCCUGCUGUGAAAACGCGGGGCUUAACUCCGCGCGUGCAGUGGGUACGGGCAGGCUUGAGUGUGGUAGGGGUGACUGGAAUUCCAGGUGUAGCGGUGGAAUGCGCAGAUAUCUGGAGGAACACCGAUGGCGAAGGCAGGUCACUGGGCCAUUACUGACGCUGAGGAGCGAAAGCGUGGGUAGCGAACAGGAUUAGAUACCCUGGUAGUCCACGCUGUAAACGUUGGGAACUAGGUGUGGGGCCCUUUUCCGGGGUUCUGCGCCGUAGCUAACGCAUUAAGUUCCCCGCCUGGGGAGUACGGCCGCAAGGCUAAAACUCAAAGGAAUUGACGGGGGCCCGCACAAGCGGCGGAGCAUGCGGAUUAAUUCGAUGCAACGCGAAGAACCUUACCAAGGCUUGACAUACACCGGGAGCAUGCAGAGAUGUGUGUGCCUUUUUGGCUGGUGUACAGGUGGUGCAUGGUUGUCGUCAGCUCGUGUCGUGAGAUGUUGGGUUAAGUCCCGCAACGAGCGCAACCCUUGUCUCGUGUUGCCAGCGCGUUAUGGUGGGGACUCACGAGAGACUGCCGGGGUUAACUCGGAGGAAGGUGGGGAUGACGUCAAAUCAUCAUGCCCCUUAUGUCUUGGGCUUCACGCAUGCUACAAUGGCCGGUACAGUGGGUUGCGAUACUGUGAGGUGGGAGCGAAUCUCUGAAAGCCGGUCUCAGUUCGGAU